GCAAAAGCUCAAAUUUGAAAUCUGUCACCUUCGGUGUCCGAGUUGUAAUUUGAAGAUUUAAGGUUUACUGGGUCUUGUCUAUGUUCCUUGGAAUAGGACAUCACAGAGGGUGAGAAUCCCGUGCGAUGAGAUGCCGUAUUGUAACCUUUUUUCGACGAGUCGAGUUGUUUGGGAAUGCAGCUCUAAGUGGGUGGUAAAUUCCAUCUAAAGCUAAAUAUUGGCGAGAGACCGAUAGCGAACAAGUACAGUGAUGGAAAGAUGAAAAGAACUUUGAAAAGAGAGUGAAAAAGUACGUGAAAUUGUUGAAAGGGAAGGAUUUGAGAUCAGACUUGGUAUUUUGCAACCUUACUCUCGGGUGGGGCCCCUGCAGUUUACUGGGCCAGCAUCAGUUUGGAUGAUGGGAU
Molecule: ribosomal RNA, 404 nt
Filed under: Priceomyces sp.
Lineage: Eukaryota; Fungi; Ascomycota; Pichiomycetes; Serinales; Debaryomycetaceae
Description: partial 28S ribosomal RNA
Rfam family: Eukaryotic large subunit ribosomal RNA
Source: RNAcentral